This 73-nucleotide transfer RNA is filed under the name Sporisorium scitamineum. RNAcentral describes it as "tRNA-Val (TAC) (tRNA-Val-TAC-1-1)". It matches the Rfam family "tRNA". Rfam says of the family: Transfer RNA (tRNA) molecules are approximately 80 nucleotides in length. Their secondary structure includes four short double-helical elements and three loops (D, anti-codon, and T loops). Further hydrogen bonds mediate the characteristic L-shaped molecular structure. tRNAs have two regions of fundamental functional importance: the anti-codon, which is responsible for specific mRNA codon recognition, and the 3' end, to which the tRNAs corresponding amino acid is attached (by aminoacyl-tRNA synthetases). tRNAs cope with the degeneracy of the genetic code in two manners: having more than one tRNA (with a specific anti-codon) for a particular amino acid; and 'wobble' base-pairing, i.e. permitting non-standard base-pairing at the 3rd anti-codon position. Lineage: Eukaryota; Fungi; Basidiomycota; Ustilaginomycetes; Ustilaginales; Ustilaginaceae. The record is from RNAcentral.
GCUGCUUUGGCACAGUGGUUAGCGCGACGCCUUUACACGGCGUAGGUCACAGGUUCGAACCCUGUAAGCAGCU